UAUAUAUUUAUUAUAUCAUAAUAUGCUGAGCCAGCGAUGAAUAACCUUGACUAUAAAUGGUUCUUGAACAUUAGCAAAAAGCUUAUUAGGUCAGAGGAAUUAGUGUGCUUCCUUGGUGAAUGCAAGUUGAACGAUGUGUUCCCAAUGUCGAUCUUCCGGAUUUUUUGUCUUGUAAUACAAGACAAAAAAUCCACAGCUAUCUACAUAGCUAUUAGCUAUUUCUACAGUAACAAAUUAUUAUAAAUUAAAAUUUUGAAGGGAAGUUUGGUUUUUGAAAUUUCUUUAAUUUUAAUAAGGCUGCCAAUUCGCUCAAGGAAGAGAGAAAGUCAAGUUAGAUAUAGAUGCCUAAAGUUUGCAUAUUCUGAUGCCAAGCGCACAAUGUACGCUAACAGAAAAA
This 397-nucleotide long non-coding RNA is filed under the name Androctonus crassicauda. Lineage: Eukaryota; Metazoa; Arthropoda; Arachnida; Scorpiones; Buthidae. The record is from RNAcentral.